RNAcentral lists this ribosomal RNA (254 nucleotides) under uncultured bacterium. RNAcentral describes it as "partial 16S ribosomal RNA". It matches the Rfam family "Bacterial small subunit ribosomal RNA", at positions 524 to 776 of the family's 1533-position model. The record is from RNAcentral.
UACGUAGGGUGCAAGCGUUGUCCGGAAUUAUUGGGCGUAAAGAGCUCGUAGGCGGUUUGUCGCGUCUGCUGUGAAAACGCGGGGCUCAACUCCGCGCCUGCAGUGGGUACGGGCAGACUAGAGUGCAGUAGGGGAGACUGGAAUUCCUGGUGUAGCGGUGGAAUGCGCAGAUAUCAGGAGGAACACCGGUGGCGAAGGCGGGUCUCUGGGCUGUAACUGACGCUGGAGGAGCGAAAGCGUGGGUAGCGAACAGG